UAAAAAAGCUCUCUGUAAUUUUAUUACCGUUCUCUGUAAAUUAUAGCCGUUAACCUUUCUCGUCUUCUCCAAUGGGGACGCCGCUUGGCGAUCCUCCACCGAAUCCUCUCAAUAGAAGCCCUCAAUUCAGCGGGGGUAAUCCCCUACCUAUCUCUGCCAAUGGCUAUCACCAAUCUUAUGCAGCCUCUCUUACAGAACCCUCCUCUUCUGCAACCCCAAAUCGUCAAGAGCAAGGGAUGGUGAUGGCUCGAAGGUCAGUUCACAACGGGAUGCCUGCGGUGAUCUUCAAAGCAUCUGAUUGCAAUGGAAUCAUGGCAACUCCGUGUAAAAGAACGAUUGUCGGCAGGUGUAAUACCCCAUACUUUUUUCUAGCUCCUAGUGUAUCAAGGGUUAGCUUUGAAAAUGUAUAAUUCUUGAUGCGAGUAGAAUUUUCCAGCUUUAGACCCUUUCAUUUGUAGAUAAUUGAAUUACCUUUCAAACGAUACCAAUUUUAUCUUAAUUCGAUAUUCGGUUGAGAAGUUAUAACGAUUUUAGUGAAAGCAGUAGAUCACCGCGAUAAGCACCGCGUUGCGGUGAAGGACAAAUUCGCAAUUGUCCGAUUACAGUGAAGCACCACGAUUGACCCGCGUCGCGGUGAAGUUUCAGUUUCCGUUCGUCCCAUUCCAGUAGCUCAUCGCGAUUAGCCUAUAUUGCGCCAAACUUUCCAAUUGGACAAAUGACGCGUUGCGGUGGAGUGCAAAAUGACACUCAUCCUUUUCCAGUGGUGCAACGCGAUUACGUUGCGUCACGCCAGAGGCCAAAAUGGCAAUUGUCCCUUUUUCAGUAAGCCACCAUGAUAGCGUCGCGUCGCGGUGGCAUGCCAAAUCUGGAUUUUAAGUUUCGAGUAAAAUUUUAAAAGGGCAAUUUAGUCUUUUUCAAAGCCCCCAAAUCGUGAAUAACAGAGGAUUAAACCUAUUAUGCUCACUUUUCAUUAACUUUCUCUCAAAGAAACCCUAGAACAUCAAACCUUCAUCCCCAAUAAAUCCAAAUUCCUCCAUUCUUUCUUCAAGAUAACUCAAAAUUAAAGAUUCUCAAUCCAAGAACUUCAAGAAUCAAUCUUUAAGAGCACAAAUAGGAACUUAAAGUUCAAACUUCUUCAUCUAGUUAUCAAUUAAGGUAUGUGGGGUUAUGAGCAAGGAUAAAUCUUUCAUCCUUGUGCCCUAAACUAGUUUUUAACUACAAAGUUACAUGAUUUUGUAUGAUUACCCAUGAAUUUCAAUUUAGGGUUCAUACCCAAAUGUUGCUAUUUGAAGAUUAUGAGAUUUUAAGUAAUUUAAAUGAUGAAUUGCAUGGUUAUUUUCGUAUUUUCAUGUGUAUGAUAUAAAUUUUCAGAUUUAGAAUUGAAUUUCAAUGCUUUCAUUAUUAAGCAUGAACUUUACUAUGAUUUGACAUGAAUUUGAUGCAUGGGUUAUUUAGCCCUAGUUUGAAUGUUGAUAUUUCAAGAAUAACUAUACUUUAAGCAUCCCAUGACUAGUUAUUUUCAGAUCUUAAUAAAUAUUUGAUCUUUUGGUCUUAGCUUAGACUUGGAAUCUACUUUACAGUCUCAGUUACAGUUUUAGUUAACAGAUAUACAGUUGGUUUUCAUUAUAAACCAUUAUACUAGUUUUAAAGUGGAAUUCCAACAGAAUGAGCAUACAAAUUAAAGAGAGUAGUAUUUAGCACCGAGUUGGGUAUGUUCUCAUGCCCCAGAACUACGAGCCAACAUAGGUAAAAAUUAUCAGAUCAUUCCCAUUUCUAUAUGGAUGAAAGAUACAGAUGUGAUCACUUAGAUUAGGUUAUACUCCUUGGCAAGAGUAUGACACCUCUCCCCAACAUGAGAUUUUUCCAUAAGCGAACUAGACGUUGGAUACUAUAAUAGCUCACAUAGUGUAUGUCGGUUAGAUAAACCUCCCUACAGACUACAAACUACAGAUUUUAGAAUAGAAUAAUCCUAACAGAAAAGCUCUUAGAAACCAAGUGUAAAGGCUCACAAUUUUAUUCAGAUAUUGUUUUACAAAAGAUAUUAGCUAUAAGAUUUCAGAUUUCAGAUUAUAGAUACAGAAGUGAGUCCUUCUACACUUAGACAACAUGAUUUAAAGACAGAAUACUAAUACAACUUUUAGAAACUAAAUGCUAUGACUCACUAGAUUUAUACAGUAUGUUUUGCUACUCAUUAUCAUGAUUCUCAGUUUUCAGUUAUUCAAGUAAUGUGAGUCAUCUACAUUUAGCAUGCAUUCUUUUUUACAAAUUUAUAUUACUAUUGAGUUAUUGAUUUAUUUGUGCAUUCACCCCCAUAUACUCAGUACAAUCCAAAAGUACUGAUCCACAUAUACGUCUAUGUGCUACAUUAUCUCAUAAUGUAGGUUCAGGUGCUCAGUUUCAACAGCGUGAGUGAUUUCGAGUAUCUCUAUCGGCAUCCCGACAUUUGGUGAGUCCUCAUAGUUUGGGGACUUAGUCAUUUAGUUUUUCAACUUAUUAGUAUAGAUGAUUCAGUAUUUUCAGACAGUUCGAGUCGGCUGGGGGUUUGUCCCGAUGACUCUCUAGAUAUUAGUAGUAGAGACUUGUCUGGCUGUUAGAUAUGAUUCAGAUUUUCAGUAUUGAUUGAUCAGACUCUUGAGUCUAGUAUUUUCAACCAUUAUAUUCAGAUAAUUUUAGUUAGCUCAAACAGAAUUUCGCAUCUUGGCUUUGAUUAUAUAUCUUUAUUUCCUUCAUUUUGAGCUUCAGAUUUAGUAGAAGGUAGAUAGGGUUAGCUUAAGGCUACUCGUAGUCUUGAGAAUCGUGGGACAUCUCGGGACCCAUUUUAGGGGUGUUACAACAGGUUCUUGAAAUUUCGCCCCCAAAUAGAUAUUAUUAGUCUAGGCUUUCUGAGAAGUUUCCGUUAAAAGGGUCAGUUAAGAUAGAUGUUUAUGAUAACUUCAAUAUUUUCAUAACUUUCAACAAUGAUGAUGAUUUUAACUUAGUUCUUUAUUAAAGGGUGAUUGAAUUAGAUUGGUAUCAAAUUUGGUUGCAAAAGUGGACUCUGGAUUUCAAACCGGAGGAGGACACUCCUAUAGUUUUGGUAUGGGUUUUACUCCCAGGUCUUCCAUUUCAUAUGCAUAACUGGCAUUAUGCCAAACAGAUAACAGUUGUGGUUAGUAAACCCGUAGAGCUUGAUGUGGCCACCAAAACCAUGAAUAGGCCAAGUAUGGCAAAAGUGAGGGUUGAAAUCGAUCUUCUUAAGCCUCUAAUUCACAAUGUUUGGGUGGGUACAGAGGAUGAAAAUUCUCCAUUGAAAGGUUUUUCACAACAGAUCCAGUACGAGAAUAUUCCAAAAUAUUGUUAACACUGUAAGAAGCUUGAUCACUCUAUAAUCAAUUGUCGUGUCUUGGAAAAGAAAAAGGAAACAGAAAAGAAAGAGACAUUAGUAAAAGCUCAACAUGGACUUGAUCAAACUUCUACAAAACAACCCAAGACUAUUACAAACAAUCACGAUGAGCUACAAAACAAUCCAAAUAAGCAUCAAGAAAUUCGAAAUAGGGGGAGAGAUACGUCAAUUAAUAAUGCCCCCUCAAAAAGAAGCUUUAGAGGAAAGAGUAAACCCCCUAAAGGGAAUUACCUGCCAACUAGGAAUACAUUCGGGAUCGAUAAGCCUCAUGCUACUUCAUUAGCUGGAUUUGUCAACCAAAAGGGCAUCACAAGAGUGAAUAACAUCGAGGAAAAUCAAGAACAAGCCAACAAACAAAUUAUGACUCAUGAAGUGCCAAAAGACAAAUCCAAUAUUGCUAUGUAUGAAAGAGGAAAGGAUCUUGCAAAGGAUAAUAACAACGAUAUCAAUGAUGAAUCUGGAAUACAAAAAGAGUCUAUAGUUCCAAAACCAAAUAACACGAUAACCAUAAAAAACAACCAGGAACUCCAAACAGACAUUCUUGAUGGUGAAUGGAAAGAAGUGGGAAGUAAAAAAAGCAAGAAAAAGUUAGGAAAGAAAGUUGGAUCUCGUGGAAGAGAGCAAGAAAUUAGGGAAAUAAGUGAGGAAGCAAUUGCUGCUAUCACGCAAAAAAACUUUGAUGAGAUAAUGGAGGAAGAAGAAGAACAAUUGGUUAGCACGGGUAAGUCUAAUCCAAAAGGUAACAACGAAAAUAAAAAAGUUGCAGAUGAUGAAGACUCAGAAUCCCAAGAUGAAGUUAAGAUUCUUGAUUGAUAGUCAUAAGAUCUCUUUAGUUGCGAUUCAGGAACCUUUUGUUAAAGAGAUAAAAAUUGAGUAGUACAAGAAUACUUUGGAUAUGCAUAAUUGUUUUGCAAAUUGUAGCAACAAGAUUUGGAUUUUCUGGAAGCAUGGCUUGGAUUGUUCGAUCCACUCUAGUGAAGAUCAAAUUACUACUUGUAGGAUUUUAUGGGAAGGCCAUUACUUUUUUCUAUGAAUAGUGUAUACUAAAUCAACUACUUUGGGUAAGGAGGAUUUAUGGAUGUACAUGAGAGCCUUUGCUACUACUAUCAGUUCUCCUUAGGCAGUUGCUGGUGAUUUUAAUAGUAUACUAAGUGCAGAAGAAAAAUUAGGGGGAAAACCCCAUAAACUUAGCAAGAGUAUCCCUUUUAUGGAGUGCUUAUAUGACUGUUCUCUGUGCUUAUAUGACUGUUCUCUUACUGAUUUUGUAUAUACUGGUAGUAGUUUCACCUGGUGUAAUGAUCGAAAAGAGCAAAGUAUUAUCUGGAAGAGGUUAGAUAAAAUGGUUUGCAAUAACUCUUGGAAUGAUAGCUUCUCCCAUUGUAAUGUUCAUCAUCUUCCAAGAGUUGGAUCUGACAAGAAGUGUGAUAAAGAUGCGAUCGUAUAAAAUGAAUAUUCAUCAAAUUUACUAUUUUUCAAUUUGUUCUUUCGUCGAUGGAAAAUGAAAAAUCGGAAAAAUGAUUCAUUCCAACUGCCCUAUACUAAUCACUUUCGGAAACAACAUUGACCAUCAUAUAAAGUACUUUAGAUUUCUUAACUUCUGGCCAGAAUAUGAUGAUUUACAGAACAUCGUCAGAGUUAGUUCAAAUAUUCAGAUUAAUGGCAAUAUUUUUUGGCAGGUACAUCAGAAAAUGAAGCAUACUAGCAGAGCAUUGAGUAUUUGGUCUAAACUCAACAUUAGCAAUUUUUUGAGAAAACUUAACAACUUGAAAAAGAG
RNAcentral lists this long non-coding RNA (5156 nucleotides) under Capsicum annuum. Its description in RNAcentral is "long non-coding RNA (CANN_LNC000270)". Lineage: Eukaryota; Viridiplantae; Streptophyta; Magnoliopsida; Solanales; Solanaceae. The record is from RNAcentral.